AACGAACGCUGGCGGCAGGCUUAACACAUGCAAGUCGAGCGCAUCCUUCGGGGUGAGCGGCGGACGGGUGAGUAACGCGUGGGAACGUGCCCUCUUCUACGGAAUAGCCUCGGGAAACUGAGAGUAAUGCCGUAUACGCCCGCAAGGGGAAAGAUUUAUCGGAGGAGGAUCGGCCCGCGUUGGAUUAGGUAGUUGGUGUGGUAACGGCCUACCAAGCCGACGAUCCAUAGCUGGUUUGAGAGGAUGAUCAGCCACACUGGGACUGAGACACGGCCCAGACUCCUACGGGAGGCAGCAGUGGGGAAUCUUGGACAAUGGGGGCAACCCUGAUCCAGCCAUGCCGCGUGAUCGAUGAAGGCCUUAGGGUUGUAAAGAUCUUUCAGCUGGGAAGAUAAUGACGGUACCAGCAGAAGAAGCCCCGGCUAACUCCGUG
This 433-nucleotide ribosomal RNA is filed under the name uncultured bacterium. Its description in RNAcentral is "partial 16S ribosomal RNA". It matches the Rfam family "Bacterial small subunit ribosomal RNA", at positions 29 to 507 of the family's 1533-position model. The record is from RNAcentral.